UUAAAAUCUUUCUUCAAGCCUCUUCAGCUGUUUUGAGUUCUACAUUUGUUUUAGGCAUUUCUGGCUUCCAGUUUCCAGGGAGAAGAUGAAGACACCAAUUCCACUUCAAGUCACUAAAGGGGAAAAAAAGUCUCUGGGAAGAUGAUAUGUUGAAGAUUGCCAGCUCCUCUCUAAUGAGAGAAUCUCAUACUAAAAAACUGCAACUCAGCUUACUCUAAACUCAUGUGAGACUAAAAGUAUUUUUAGAAAAUAAACUAUUUUGUGAGCAGAAUAAGGAGAAUGAUUUAUACAUUAAAAGAAAUAUUAUAAAAAUGAACCACUUUGAAAUAUUCAAAUACUCUGAUUAAUCCAAUAACCAGCUAUGGUUUCAGAGGAUGGAUGAUGAAUUAAGUGACUCAUCUUCUGACAGAGAAAUGUUGGACUAAAUAGGAGAAUGAGACACACAUUUUUGGACAUGAGCAAUAUGGGAAUUUAUUUUGCAUGUCUUUUACACAUUUGCCACACAGAUUUUGUUUUCCUUUUCUUUUUGGGAGGUAGAGGGGCAAGGUAGAAGAGAGAAAAGUGCAUCCUAUUAGUUGAAAAAGAAUUCAUUUAAAAAGAAAAAGUUGAUUAUUUUAGAUUUAGAAACAGAGAAAGAAGACAAUUUAGUGAGAGGACUUUAAGAUUGAUGACUGCCACAGAUCAAUAAAUAUGUCUUCAGGAAACAUUAUAAAUCAGAAUACCAAUGAAUUAAUGUACAAUUAAAGGCAUAUAUAUUUCCUAUGACUGUAAUACUUGUUUUUGUCCACUCUCCAAGGUACCUGUUUCUUGAUAACAAGGCACUGAAGAAUUCCACUGGUAAUCAGAAGAGAGCUUGGCACUGUGUUACAUCUGGGAUAUAAACACAGGCAAGACAGGGAAACAGUCCUUACCCUGGAGGAAUUUCUGUCCAAUGGAAGAAAAACAACCCAUAAAGGAAAGUGGAAAAACUUAAGAUAGGGGAAGAGGAUCCAAGCAAGCACAAGAUGGCUGGAGAUGAAGAGGAGGAGGAGGAGGAGGAGGAGACAGAGGAAGAAGUAGAGAAGAAGGUUAAGAUAGCAGAGUUCAGUGAGGAUUAAGUAGAGCAUGGCUAGCCUAUCCGGCUAGGAGUAUGCUGGAGCCAACUAAUAUUGGCUCAGGGGAUCCAAUUGUUAAAUUGUCAGUGCUAAAUUUUCAGAUAGGUGUCAUAGUAGACACAGCUCUAAAUCUAGAGUAAGAAAAACCCAAAUUCAAAUCCAGCCUCACUCUGACUAUGUGACUCUGGGUAAGUCACUUAACUUCUGUUUGCUUCAGUUUCCUCUUCUGUAAAACGGGGAUAACAAUAGCACCUGCCUCCCAGCUUUGUUGUAAGGAUCAAAUGAGAUAAUAAUUAUAUAACAUUUAGCAAAGUGCCCGGUAGGUAGCACACAUAUAUAAAUAGCUAUUGUUACAUACAGUUAUUUACAUCUCCGAAACAAACUGGCCUUAAUUUGUAGUUUUGUGGAUUGUCUAGACUUAAUAAAACAAUGGAGAAAAUGUUAAUAAUAAAGAGU
This is a long non-coding RNA of Monodelphis domestica (gray short-tailed opossum), 1550 nucleotides long. NCBI's taxonomy places the organism in Eukaryota, Metazoa, Chordata, Mammalia, Didelphimorphia, Didelphidae. The record is from Ensembl.